This 233-nucleotide ribosomal RNA is filed under the name uncultured Staphylococcus sp. Its description in RNAcentral is "partial 16S ribosomal RNA". It matches the Rfam family "Bacterial small subunit ribosomal RNA", at positions 107 to 334 of the family's 1533-position model. The record is from RNAcentral. Lineage: Bacteria; Bacillati; Bacillota; Bacilli; Caryophanales; Staphylococcaceae.
UGAGUAACACGUGGAUAACCUACCUAUAAGACUGGGAUAACUUCGGGAAACCGGAGCUAAUACCGGAUAAUAUUUUGAACCGCAUGGUUCAAAAGUAAAAGACGGUCUUGCUGUCACUUAUAGAUGGAUCCGCGCUGCAUUAGCUAGUUGGUAAGGUAACGGCUUACCAAGGCAACGAUGCAUAGCCGACCUGAGAGGGUGAUCGGCCACACUGGAACUGAGACACGGUCCAG